ACUACUUUGUGUCCACACAUCUUUAUUUAAGGUGUUUUUCACGUAUAAAUAGAUGGGCAACCAAAGUCCAUUUGCCUCAUCAGUUCAAAAUUAUCUAAAGAUGUUUCCUUCUCCAAAGGUCCGCUUUGUAUUGUUUGUUGUGCUCUUACUUUUACUUCAUUCUAUUCCAUUCAUGAUAGCGGCCAGAGUCUCUGAAAUAUUCGGACGCAGGUCAAGAUUAAUUGCAGUAGGAGGAACUCAGUCACACCGUUGUGGAAGUGAUUGCGGGGGAGAUCCUUAAUUGGACUAAACGGAAGUGGGUCAUCUGGAUAUUGUUUCAGUUGCCCGCGAGGUUCUGCGGUGACAAAAAUGUAUAAGAAAUUAUUGUCAUACAAUACUCUAUGCAAUAAGGUUUCCCAUUUUAAUUAGUUAAAAA
Molecule: long non-coding RNA, 415 nt
Organism: Rhododendron vialii
Lineage: Eukaryota; Viridiplantae; Streptophyta; Magnoliopsida; Ericales; Ericaceae
Exons: 2
Source: RefSeq, a predicted model, not a curated record